GCCAGGGUAGCGAAGCGGUCAAACGCACCUGUCUGUAAAACAGGCGGCUUUAUGCCUUCGGAGGUUCGAACCCUCCCCCUGGCA
Molecule: non-coding RNA, 84 nt
Organism: Candidatus Woykebacteria bacterium RBG_16_44_10
Lineage: Bacteria; Candidatus Woykeibacteriota
Source: Rfam